Non-coding RNA from Paramuricea clavata, 2912 nucleotides. The record is from the annotation of a GenBank genome assembly. NCBI's taxonomy places the organism in Eukaryota, Metazoa, Cnidaria, Anthozoa, Malacalcyonacea, Plexauridae.
AGCUGACGUAUGCAGAUAUAAUAUUCUUCUCAUGCAUGGAAUUGUUUGAAACCCUCAACAAAGGUUCUUCGCCAAUAUUGGAUAACUAUCCUGCACUAAAAGAUCUUAAUAACACAGUUUCAAGCAACCCUGGGAUAAAGAAAUGGUUGAGCGAACGGCCAGAUCAAUGAAUGAGAUGUGUGAUAAUUAAUUAAAUAAUUUUACAAAAAUUUUGUAAUCAUAUUAAUGCUGCAUCGUAUUAAACAUUUUCACUAAUAAUUAGUUGCUGGGGCACCUGUGCCAGCAACUAUAGGUUUCGGGUGAAAUUGGUCUCCUUCUCCUUCUCCAUGGAUAGUCGCAAAAUGGAAAUUCCCACUGAUCUAUAUACGAAGCAAUGCGUGCAUACAUUUUCGCUAUUUUAACGGUCUUAAAGUCUUCGUAAGUGUAUAAAGUGAACGUCAAAUUGUUCUUUCAAUCACGCUUUUUCUUCUGGGGGCUUUUUGAAAGAAAUCCAUCAAGAAUAUACAGAAUUAUGUCGACGUUUCACUAUCGAGGAGUGGAGUAGAUUCCGAGGUGGAUUAAUUAACUGACAAGAACUGUGUUAUUUAUUCGUCGAACCAUUACAGUCUGAACGUUUAUAUUUUUGUUUUGUGAAGUUUUACAUCUAUAUACGCUUUAAUAUGGCUUAUAGUCCUGGUUGCUCCAAUAGUCUGCAUAAAAAUCGUAUUUGUUUACAUGUAUUGGAACUGUCAUAUUUGCAUGCUACAGUGUAGCUCUAUUUUCAAGAAGGCUCAAAUGUUGGCUGUUUUGAAGUGACACACGAGGUAUGUGACACACAAUCUUGGAUUGGUAUUUCUUAGAUAGAUAGAUAUUUUUAAUUGAUAAUUAAACCUUGCAGCCAUUGGCUGUAUUAUGUUAACAUUACAUAAGGUCCACUUAUUCAGAAUAAGAAUAUUAUUCUGGUUAUAGGACUGAACUAUUAGCUUAAAAACUCCCAUGUUCGUGUUUGCGAUGUUACUCUGAGUGCAUAUCCACACCGGGCGAGCUUGAAAAAUAUGCCCGGCGACGGUGGGAUUAUUUGGUCGAACCGUCCUGACCGCGUAGCUCAGUUGGAAGAGCAUUGGGCUAGUAUUCCAAAGGUCGUAGGUUCGAAUCCCACCGUGGCCGGGCAUAUUUUUCAAGCUCGCCCGGUGUGGAUAUGCACUCAGAGUAACAUCGCAAACAUAUUAUUCACCUGAGUACACAACACCAACACAGAAAAAAAAAUUCAUAUUACAAGAACACAUUGGUAUUGAAGGAACUAGAUACUGUUCCGAAAUAUCACUUACUCGAACCGUCCUGACCGCGUAGCUCAGUUGGAAGAGCAUUGGGCUAGUAUUCCAAAGGUCGUAGGUUCGAAUCCCACCGUGGCCGGGCAUAUUUUUCAAGCUCGCCCGGUGUGGAUAUGCACUCAGAGUAACAUCGCAAACACAUUAUUCACCUGAGUACACAACACCAACACAGAAAAAAAUUCCCAUGUUCGUGUUGUAAACUGCAUCAUGUAUUCAUGAUUUUUACUUGCAACUCAUUUGCUUAUUUAAUAGAUUGCAAACAGGGGUCCCCUUGUUAAAAAUUUCAUGUCAACUUGGGAAGAUCCCAAGCAAUAUUUUUGCAGAUUGCAAAAUUUAUAAUCUAUCAGUAAUCUGUACCUUACUAUGAUCUAAACAUUUGAUGAUAUUUAUGUGGCUCUAACAUGUAAUAGCUUCAAUAUUUUGGAGUGUAUUAUUUGAUGUUAAUUAAGCCCUUUAGUUAAAAAUCACCAAUUGAAGAAUUGCUAGAACCAAAAGUGAAUGCUGGAACUACAGUAUCUAUAUUUACCAUGUUGCACCCUCAAUGCCUGGUUACCCCACGUCUUGUCACCCCCUCCCCUCUUUGAGGGCCCUCUUUGUUAGCGAUUCAGUUCUACACCACUGACUGCUAAUAUAAAGUUAUGUAAAAUUUUAAUGCCAAUAGCUCAGGGAAUGCAGUGCUGUGGGAAGCUCUUUUUGAUUGGGGAACUGAAAGCAAUGGCCAAAGGCCCGAGGAAAUUUUUAAAUUUAGAGUGUCUGAAAUGCCAUUUCCUGAACUUUGGGAAAGAUUUGACAGAAUUCUGAUGGUCAGAAAACAGCAUUUUAGUAUGUCGAAAUUUACAAUUUUAAACAGCCCCCCCCCCCUGAUUGCUACGGCCCUGGGGAGAAAUAUAACCACUGUCUAUCGCAUGCAUCAGUUAGGUGCAAAAAGCUAAAUUCCGCACCAAUAGUCAAUAUAUGCGAUUGUCCAUAUCAUAUAACCCUUUAAGUGGCAAUGUACCCUCAUGUGACCUACUUUAUUAUUUUACUGUGUCUAAUGCCAAGGAUUUUACUCAUCAGGGAGAGAGUGCUGUCACUCAAUGGGUUAAUUCACAAACGACUCCUUAGUCCUUAACUGUCUGAUAAAUAAUUUUUGUGUUUUAAAAUUUGUUAUAAACAAGUUAAAAUAAAAAUAUACAAAUCUGUAUUUAUCCUCAAAUAUGAAUAAGGGGUUAUUAUAGCCCAAGUAUGAACACUUGUGCCACAGUGCCAGCACAAAAUGGGCUAUUCCAGCUUUCAAUUCUGCUGGAAUGAGGUGAUAAAUUUUUAGCUUUGGAAUUCCUCAGGGAUAAGCAAAUAUUUUCUGUGUGGAAUUCUUUGGGGGUAAUCCGGUAAUGGAUAUUUUGAAUGAGAUUUUCUCAGGGGUCAAAUAUAAAAAUUGAAAUUCUUCCAGGGUCUCUCUUCAUGGGUAUUAACAGGAAUUCUUCAGUGGAUCUCUUUUAUGACCUGUAGGAAUUCUUCAGUUCAGCGAUAUGAUGAACUCUUGUGCAACGGACCUGAUUGUGAGAUUCCACUUCAUUGAAAGGACGACCUUAGGGACGGACCAUUAGAAAACCGAUGGGGGGG